Labrus bergylta (ballan wrasse) is the source of this 417-nucleotide non-coding RNA. Lineage: Eukaryota; Metazoa; Chordata; Actinopteri; Labriformes; Labridae. The record is from RefSeq and is a predicted model, not a curated record.
GGGAUACAGCCACAUUUCUUCUACUAAUUCAGGCUCUGUUGCUCCUUCUGCUCCUCUCCCUGCAGAGCUGUCUCCUGGCCUGGCUGCGCUCACUGUGGGCUGUGACUCAGGGAAUCUGGGCUCAAUUUCCCGCGUCCAGUUGCUUCUUCUCGACAGAAACGAACCCGAGACCCUGCCGAGUCCCUCUGGUUAUGAAGACGAGCUGUCGCUGGAAGAGGACUGGUCUGAUAUGAGAAUGCUAGACGAUCCAGAACUGACUUCAGCAGGUGUCUCGAGGCCCCUCACAGCUGGCAGCGGCUCUGAAAGGUGUGACUCUGCAGGGAAAGUCCAUGAAAACAAAUCGGAUCAGUCUGAAGGAUGUUCAGGCUCCCCGUCGUCAUGGAUCAUAGACCCGAGUCCAUCACACGACAUGUUCAC